UCGCGACCCCAGGUCAGGCGGGGCUACCCGCUGAGUUUAAGCAUAUCAAUAAGCGGAGGAAA
This 62-nucleotide ribosomal RNA is filed under the name Melampodium nayaritense. RNAcentral describes it as "partial 26S ribosomal RNA". It matches the Rfam family "Eukaryotic large subunit ribosomal RNA", at positions 1 to 59 of the family's 3401-position model. Lineage: Eukaryota; Viridiplantae; Streptophyta; Magnoliopsida; Asterales; Asteraceae. The record is from RNAcentral.